Non-coding RNA from Coturnix japonica (Japanese quail), 3389 nucleotides. The record is from RefSeq and is a predicted model, not a curated record. NCBI's taxonomy places the organism in Eukaryota, Metazoa, Chordata, Aves, Galliformes, Phasianidae.
CUCAUGCCAUGGUUUGAGAGCAAGUAUGUGGAAAAUGUACUGGUGACAGAACCGCAGCCUUGCUUUAAGUCCUGAGGUAAGGGGUUCACCUGAAAGAGUCCCUGUAAUAAUGGAGCGAUGAACAAAAAAAGAGAGCUGGGGAAAUGGAUGAUGCAUAAAUAGAAGCACAAAUAAUUCCAAAGGGUCUGCUGAAGAUAUCUGCCUUCUUUGCCCCUCUAAGCUGUAGGCUGUACAUGAAAAUCUGGAGUGAGAAUUAUUGAGCCAAAUUUCAUCAUCUGCCAGGUAACCCAUUCAAAGGUUCUGUUAUUCAGUGGUGUAAUCCUCCCUGCCUCCACUGAGCAUAGGAUCAGUCCUCUCUGUCUGAAGUUCUAUUUCCUGACUUGGGCUGGAGCACUGUGUACAUUGUACAGCACAAGAAGUAGGUCCUGAGCCAAGUCUUUACUCUUUGAAGAUGUCAUUAAAACCACCUCAAAGUCUCCCUGACUCACACUGUAUGAUUUUCAGGAAUUGCUUAAAGAACGUGUUGUGCACAGUGCAGGAGUGGAUGUGAUGAAUCCUGCAGAAAAAUACUGUUGGAGCAGCCCUCGAAUUGUUUUCCCAAGAUGACAAGAGAAACUCAACGGUUUAUUUCACAGAGGAUAAGUGAAAUGAUCUGCUUAUGAGCCAGUUCAGCCUUCUCUUGAGGAGCAGAGAAACAUGGAGGAGGAUCUGAGUUUGUUCAAAGGUGGUAGCUGUUGUCCAAGACCUGUAAGGAUCUGGUUGCAGCAAGCAAGAAUGUUGAGAUAUCUAUAGCCAUGCAGAGACUAAAGGACAUCCUGACUGCAAGUUGGAGGCUGGGCCCUUGGCUUGUUUUAUUCUGCAGAGGAAAUAUGUCAGUGCUCUCCAAGAACCCAGUAAAUUGCUCUUUCUGUGGUGUCUGGGAGAGCGAUGAAUUGCUCUCUCAGGGGUGUCACUAACUCUUAGGUUGCUUUUCAGUGCAUCACCGAAGUCUGUGUAUUGCAUAAAGUAAUUUUCACAUGAGAGAAGAGCAUUUUCUUAGCUGGGUUAGCUGUAAACUCACCCUAAGGGGCAUGGAGAACAAUGAAUGCAAGACUUUAAGUUGUCAGGUACAUGAUUGCACAUAAUACUAAUCUAAUCACAAGCUUUGAGAUGGAAAAAAAAUAGGAGAAAGGGAGGAAAUACACUAUCCCAGAGAGAGAUGCUGACACCGGACAAGCAGCAGGGAUAAUUCUUUCUGUUCUCUGAUAUAUUGGUGUGACUGCUGUUGUGCUUGGCAGAAAACACUCAGCCUAAAAAGCUGUAAACUUUACAGCUCUUUGCACUGUGUCGCUGUGUUAAAGAACCCAGUAGGGUGCAACUAUGGAAAAGGAUUUCUUGAAAAUCUUGUCAAUAUAUUUUGUCAUUCCUUGAUUGACUGAACUGCGAGCAUAAGCUGUGCAUUUUAAGACCAAUACUUUUGUUUUACAGAAUAACAGCAUGGAAACUAAAAUCCAUUACUUGGGGCAGAGUCAUGUCAUUAAGGUCAGAAAAGACCUCAAAGAUCCUUGAAUUCAGCCAUUAUCCCAUGCCCACCAUGCCCUCUAAGCCCCAGCACCAUGUUCUAUCCCAGCCAUAUUCCUCUCUUCAAUUUUACUGGAAAUGUCUUAGUAACAAACACUUCAAAAACAGAGUCAGAACAAUGCACAAGAAUUCAGCUCAGAAUGAAUUUGGUUGCAAUAUAUAAUUGAGCAGCAGAGUGAGAGAGUUUUGAAAUUAUGGAGUUGAUUUUAACAGUUAACACUAGCAUUAAAUACUCUAUAUUUUAAGCUCCUGCCUAUUGACAUUUAUAGAUAGAAAUAGUGAUCUGAAUUCCCCUUGUGGGUUUGGCAGAUAGGGUUGAAAGUUGUUUCAUUUUUGUAUGUAAUUUUCUUUUGGCAAGAACGUGUGCGGGUGGUGGAGGAGAGGUCAGUUUGUCUAUGUUUAUAGGUGCUGACAAGUUGUCUCAGAUUUAUUUUUAAUUCAGCUUGUUUAAAAAUUGCAUGGCAGUAUGUUUUGUUUUUUUUUAAAAUACACAAUUGCCAAAAGUUUUCAUGUUAAACUUUGUGUGUGUGCCAUUGCUUCCUAUGACAGAAACUGGCUUCGUUGAUGUAUAGUGCAUUAGUUAAACAAUAGCUGGUUAAACCUGAGCUUCCAGAAGUUCAGUCAUCACCUCCAUUUGUUGGAAAGUUAUGCAUUCUGUGGUUUUGGUGUGUCAUAAGAACUAGUUGAUGCUUCUACUAAUUAACCCAGUCAGUAAUGCAACUUUUUUAGAUAUUUCUUUUUUUACUGAUGUGAAUGAACUCUCACUGAGACGCGUUAUUCAAUGAGAAUAAAAAGAUUCAUUUUCCAGGUAUUUGAAAGAGAUUUUUCAGAGUUGGCAAAAAUGAUUAUGGAAGUUUUGCUUAUUUCUAAAGAAGAUGAAAUUCACAUAGUUUGGAGCAAUUUACAGAAGAAAUUUGUUGCAAUUAGAGGCAGAGGUAACCUGUAAGUGCUGUGAUUAUCUCAAGUGUUUUCAGCCCAUGUGGAUCACAACCAGCAUGGCUUUGUCCCUGAUUACUACAGAGGAGUUGGACUAAAUGACAUUUAACAGUCCUUUCCAACUUCACUGUAUGAUUUGCAUACAGGUGCUUGGGGAAGGUGAGUGAAGGAGCAGCUCUCCUGGAUGCAGCCCUUGCAGGCUGCUCUUGUAGGGCUACCACUGCCUUCUGCUGCACAGAGAGAAAACUGUUUUCAAGCACAAUAUUGGUAAAGGGAAUUGCUGCAGUACUGUGACCAGGCAGAUCUUCUCUCAGCUGUAUUGCGUUGUUACCGAAAUGGUAUAAAAUCAUUGUCAGAUUGAGAGCCAGGGGCUGCACAGAGUAGAGGCACUCUCUUCCUUAGAAUGGCAGUUUCAAAAGGCUUUGGGCCAAGCAUUGCAACUCUUUAAAAAUAAUAAUAAUAAUAAAUGAAUGUCCCCUUAUGAAAUUCAGUUGGAUAUUUCUAUCCAAUGUAAGCCAACUCAGGAUGUGAAGCAAUUAGCACUUCUGUAGAUGGUAAUCAUCCAUGGCAGUCUUACUUGGGUAGCUUUAGCCGCAGCUCUUUGGUUGCACCUUUUCUUUUUCUUUAUCCAGAAUGAGAUGUAUCACUUGACCAUGGACUGAUCUGAAAUGAAAACUUAGAUGAAGAGCAGUGCCAGUAGUAGUAAAUGGUUACGCUGCAGGAAUCAGAGCCAGCUGAAAAUUAGAAUUUUUGAAAGGGGGGUUGGAGUCUUAAUCUCAACCAGCUCUGGAAAAAUUGCAGCUCUGUUCUCCACAGGGAAGGAGGAGGGGGAAACGUUGAUUCAGAAAACAUGUGCUGCGCUCCACUGUAUAAAUCUGGAUUUCAAAAAUAAA